GCUUUCGUGGUGUAAUGGUCAGCACACUCGGCUCGUAAUCGAGAGGUCCGGGGUUGGAGUCCCGGCGAGAGCA
Molecule: transfer RNA, 73 nt
Filed under: Stegodyphus mimosarum
Lineage: Eukaryota; Metazoa; Arthropoda; Arachnida; Araneae; Eresidae
Description: tRNA-Thr for anticodon CGU
Rfam family: tRNA
About the family: Transfer RNA (tRNA) molecules are approximately 80 nucleotides in length. Their secondary structure includes four short double-helical elements and three loops (D, anti-codon, and T loops). Further hydrogen bonds mediate the characteristic L-shaped molecular structure. tRNAs have two regions of fundamental functional importance: the anti-codon, which is responsible for specific mRNA codon recognition, and the 3' end, to which the tRNAs corresponding amino acid is attached (by aminoacyl-tRNA synthetases). tRNAs cope with the degeneracy of the genetic code in two manners: having more than one tRNA (with a specific anti-codon) for a particular amino acid; and 'wobble' base-pairing, i.e. permitting non-standard base-pairing at the 3rd anti-codon position.
Source: Rfam by way of RNAcentral